Molecule: ribosomal RNA, 391 nt
Filed under: uncultured Oscillatoria sp.
Lineage: Bacteria; Bacillati; Cyanobacteriota; Cyanophyceae; Oscillatoriales; Oscillatoriaceae
Description: bacterial SSU rRNA
Rfam family: Bacterial small subunit ribosomal RNA
Source: RNAcentral
CGAAAGCCUGACGGAGCAAGACCGCGUGGGGGAAGAAGGCUCUUGGGUUGUAAACCCCUUUUCUCUGGGAAGAAAAUUGUGAAAGCAACCUGACGGUACCAGAGGAAUCAGCAUCGGCUAACUCCGUGCCAGCAGCCGCGGUAAGACGGAGGAUGCAAGCGUUAUCCGGAAUGAUUGGGCGUAAAGCGUCUGCAGGUGGCAGUUCAAGUCUGCUGUCAAAGACCGGGGCUUAACUUCGGAAAGGCAGUGGAAACUGAACAGCUAGAGUAUGGUAGGGGCAGAGGGAAUUCCUGGUGUAGCGGUGAAAUGCGUAGAGAUCAGGAAGAACAUCGGUGGCGAAGGCGCUCUGCUGGACCAUAACUGACACUCAGGGACGAAAGCUAGGGGAGCG